Oryctolagus cuniculus (rabbit) is the source of this 95-nucleotide small nuclear RNA. Its record names the gene U2. It matches the Rfam family "U2 spliceosomal RNA". From Rfam's summary of the family: U2 is a small nuclear RNA (snRNA) component of the spliceosome (involved in pre-mRNA splicing). Complementary binding between U2 snRNA (in an area lying towards the 5' end but 3' to hairpin I) and the branchpoint sequence (BPS) of the intron results the bulging out of an unpaired adenosine, on the BPS, which initiates a nucleophilic attack at the intronic 5' splice site, thus starting the first of two transesterification reactions that mediate splicing. Lineage: Eukaryota; Metazoa; Chordata; Mammalia; Lagomorpha; Leporidae. The record is from Ensembl.
AUCGCUUCUCAGCCUUUUGGCUAAGAUCAAGUGUAGAUACCAUUGUAUUAAUUAUAAGAAUUUAUUAUAGUGUAUUUCUUCUGAAACUAUCCUUU